ACUCAUUUGGUGGAAUUGGUAGACACGACAGACUUAAAAUCUGUUUCUUUUUAGGAGUACCGGUUCAAUUCCGGUAAUGGGUA
RNAcentral lists this transfer RNA (83 nucleotides) under Monodopsis sp. MarTras21. RNAcentral describes it as "tRNA-Leu". It matches the Rfam family "tRNA". Rfam says of the family: Transfer RNA (tRNA) molecules are approximately 80 nucleotides in length. Lineage: Eukaryota; Eustigmatophyceae; Eustigmatales; Monodopsidaceae. The record is from RNAcentral.